UUAACAGUCCUUUUCAGGACUACCAAAUCAUUCACGAAAGAGUUG
This is a non-coding RNA of Culex pipiens (northern house mosquito), 45 nucleotides long. Lineage: Eukaryota; Metazoa; Arthropoda; Insecta; Diptera; Culicidae. The record is from Rfam.